This 253-nucleotide ribosomal RNA is filed under the name uncultured bacterium. Its description in RNAcentral is "partial 16S ribosomal RNA". It matches the Rfam family "Bacterial small subunit ribosomal RNA", at positions 524 to 776 of the family's 1533-position model. The record is from RNAcentral.
UACAGAGGUCCCGAGCGUUGUUCGGAUUCACUGGGCGUAAAGGGUGCGUAGGUGGCAAGGUAAGUUUGAUGUGAAAGCUCAGGGCUUAACCCUGAAAUGGCAUUGAAUACUGUCGGGCUGGAGGUUUGGAGGGGGGACUGGAAUUCUUGGUGUAGCAGUGAAAUGCGUAGAUAUCAAGAGGAACACCAGUGGCGAAGGCGAGUCCCUGGACAACACCUGACACUGAGGCACGAAAGCUAGGGGAGCAAACAGG